UAUUGUUAAAACUUAACUGAAAAGGAAAACUAUAGAAAAUGUAAAUAUACCUUUUGCAUAAUGGUUAAACAAUAAAAAUUAAAAUUUAUGUACCCCGAAGUUAGAAGAUCUAAUUUUAUUAAAUUUAUUAGAAAAAUAAUGUUACAAAAUUAUAAAUAAAUAAAAUUAGGGGUGAAAGGCUUACCAAUUCUACUAAUAUCUGGAAUAAUUUUAAAUGUAUUUAGUACAGAACAAAUUUGAGUAAAGAAAUGUUAAGAUUUUUUUAACAAGAAUAAUAAUUUAUAAAAUUGUUUAAAAUCCUUAUUUUAAGAUUGUUGAAAAUUAUUUAUUUUAAUAUCUUCAGUAAAAUUAUACUUAAACUUUUUUAAAUUUAAUUAUGUUUAAAUUAGUAUUAUUCUUAUUUUAAAAUAAGGAACUCGGCUAAUUAUUCGCCUGUUUAUCAAAAACAUAGCCUUAUGAUAUAAGGUUAGACCUGCCCAUUGAGUAUUUUAACGGCCGCAGUACCUUGACUGUGCUAAGGUAGCAUAAUAAAUUGACCUUUAAUUGGGGCCUUGAAUGAAAGGAUUGAUAAUUUCUGUCUUUAUUAACUAGUUAAAAUUUACUUAAAAGGUGAAAACUCCUUUAAAUUUUAAAAAAGACGAGAAGACCCUAGGAGUUUACUAUUUUGUUGGGGCGACAAUGUAACAUAACUUACAUUAUUUAAAACUUAACAAUAAUUAUUAUAAAGAAUAAGCUACCCUAGGGAUAACAGCAUAAUUUAUUAAGUUUGUGACCUCGAUGUUGGA
This 785-nucleotide ribosomal RNA is filed under the name Pravonitor laura. RNAcentral's name for it is "partial large subunit ribosomal RNA". The stretch from base 433 to 568 matches the Rfam family "Archaeal large subunit ribosomal RNA", at positions 1892 to 2081 of the family's 2987-position model. The record is from RNAcentral. Lineage: Eukaryota; Metazoa; Mollusca; Gastropoda; Stylommatophora; Helicarionidae.